RNAcentral lists this RNase P RNA (388 nucleotides) under Candidatus Woesearchaeota archaeon. Its description in RNAcentral is "RNase P RNA component". It matches the Rfam family "Archaeal RNase P". From Rfam's summary of the family: Ribonuclease P (RNase P) is a ubiquitous endoribonuclease, found in archaea, bacteria and eukarya as well as chloroplasts and mitochondria. The record is from RNAcentral. Lineage: Archaea; Nanobdellati; Candidatus Woesearchaeota.
UAGGGUCAGUACUUAGCUAACGGUGCUUAUGCAUUGAGGAAAGUCCACCCGCCUAGGCUUUGCCUAUAGGCUUUGCCUAAUAUGCGGAUAGCUAAUAUGCACUUGCGGAAGCAAGAUUCGGAGACGGAUGGCAACCACACAGAAACGAGACCUCCAUAAAAUAGGAUGAUGCUUGCGAAGUUUUUGGCGACAAAAACAAGCGCUUUUAAAGCUGCUAAGUUAUAUUAGCAUAACCAGCUGACAUUUUUUAUGGGAAGGAUGAAACGGUGAGCCCUGCAUGGUGCAAGUCUAAAAGCUAUGGCUUUAACGACGCUUAGUUAAAUGCUAAGACAAGCGAUGGCAACAUUGUUGCUGAAUGCUUGACAAAAGGUGGCUUAUUCUGGCCCUA